Molecule: long non-coding RNA, 621 nt
Filed under: Felis catus (domestic cat)
Lineage: Eukaryota; Metazoa; Chordata; Mammalia; Carnivora; Felidae
Description: lncRNA (ENSFCAG00000053857.1)
Source: RNAcentral
UUAAUGACUCCUACCAGAAUUUGCUGGGGAUACAAGCAUGCUCACUGAAGUGAUAAUGUGAUCUUUCCUUGCCCAAAUUUGUGAUCAAGAAAAUCUAAGACUAUUUUGGAAUGAGGGAAUCUGUGGUAGAAAUAUUCAUUACUUUGUAAUUUUUUUCAAGUUUGUGUUCAGUUCUAGAUAUUUCAUGGAUUUUUUCUAUAAUUAUUUAUUGGAGGAAGACCUUACAUGAUAAACAUGAAUUGAUCCCUCUGAGGAUGUGAAGGUGGAUAGGGUGGUAGCCUGGAGAUACCAGAAGAGGCCUUGUUGGAGAACUAGAAGUUAGUAGUCACAUGGAAACUAGAUUUCAGUGAGAGAAGAUUCUGCAAGACAAAGGCAGGGAUCAAGGCUAGAGGGUCUGGGACAGGAUACAAAGGUAUGCUGUAGUUUAGUCAGUCUUGAGUGGGGCCAGAGACCUUACUUUGAGGUCACAGGUCUGGAUGCAGGAGAUCAUGGAGAAGGUGCAAUUAUAGCUUUGAAAGACCCUAGGAAAGAACUUACCUGGAAAAGAAGGAAGAAUGAGCUCAAAAACACACAACUACAAGGUAAGAGCAGAAAAUCUUUAUGGUGAAAAGUAGAAAUGCU